AGCUCCAAUAGCGUAUAUUAAAGUUGUUGCGGUUAAAAAGCUCGUAGUUGGAUUUCUGCUAGGGACGAUCGGUCCACCCACUGGGUGUGUAUCUGUGUCGGCCUUGGCAUCUUCCUGGCGAACGCAACUGCACUUGACUGUGUGGUGCGGUAUCCAGGACUUUUACUUUGAGGAAAUUAGAGUGUUUCAAGCAGGCGCACGCCUUGAAUACAUUAGCAUGGAAUAAUAAGAUAGGACCUGAGUUCUAUUUUGUUGGUUUCUAGAGCUGAGGUAAUGAUUAAUAGGGAUAGUUGGGGGCAUUCGUAUUUAACAGUCAGAGGUGAAAUUCUUGGAUUUGUUAAAGACGGACUACUGCGAAAGCAUUUGCCAAGGAUGUUUUCAUUG
RNAcentral lists this ribosomal RNA (384 nucleotides) under Polykrikos sp. RNAcentral describes it as "partial small subunit ribosomal RNA". It matches the Rfam family "Eukaryotic small subunit ribosomal RNA", at positions 587 to 975 of the family's 1831-position model. Lineage: Eukaryota; Dinophyceae; Gymnodiniales; Gymnodiniaceae. RNAcentral also lists the same sequence under 1 other name. The record is from RNAcentral.